Mus musculus (house mouse) is the source of this 4813-nucleotide long non-coding RNA. RefSeq annotates it as predicted gene, 57793. Lineage: Eukaryota; Metazoa; Chordata; Mammalia; Rodentia; Muridae. The transcript is spliced from 2 exons. The record is from RefSeq and is a predicted model, not a curated record.
CCUUUCUGAAAGAAGAGAAACAUUUUUAAAGACUUGUGGGCAAGCUGUCCUAGAAAAAUGAAACAUUGUCAGUAAUAUAGAAAAAUAUGUAAGUUAAAGACCCAUGAAGUUAUGUCAAUUAUUUUUUAAUAUUUUACAUUUUAUAAUGAUUUAAAACAGAGUGUAAAUAUUUUGCUCAGUUCUUUUCAGUUGGUGUAAAGCAUCAUUUCCGAGGCAUUUCAUCACCAGGUUGGAAUAAAGAGUACGAUGGACAAGACAGAACAAACUUAGAGUUUCUCAACAGACAGAAGAUGAUGGUCAUCAGCUGAUUUGACGCUGGGCAAUAAAGACUUCGACUAAGCAAAACCAUAUGGCUGGAAGGAAACGCGCUGAAAGGAUGCCAUGGGUAUGAAUGAGCUCGUCUCUCAGAACUCCUUCUAAGAGAACCUGACAGUUCCGGCUGAGGAGGAGACCCACAGGGCACAACACUUGCUGUGAAACAGGACUUGAGGAAAGAAGCCAGGUGUGGUGGCACACACAUGUCAUCCUAGUGCUGGGAUGGGAGACAUGAGCACAUUCCUCAGAGAGACACAGGCCACUGAGACCCUGUCUCAAAAACCACGGUAUAUGGAGAGCGAGGAAUAACGAACAUCUAAGGUUGUCCUUUGUCCUCUUGUCCAGAUGUAUGGUACUACCUAGACCCCAGAGAUACACAAACGUGCACCAAAACUCUUGCUAAUAAACAUGCUCACUUAUAAAUAACAUUAUUUAGUCACUGAAAUGAUAUUAUUAGACAAAAGAAAACAUAUCUGUUGCUGAAGAGAUAGCUGAGCAGUUAAUGACACUUGUUCCUGAAGAAGACCCACGGUCAAUUCCCAGCACCCACUUGUUAACUCACAACCGCUGGUGACUCUGGAUCCAGGGAUCUAACACUCUUCUGGCCUCUAAGGUUGCAGUGAAUGUGGUGCACACACACACACACACAUGUUGCCAAAACUCUCAUACACAUAAACUAAUAACCCUCCCUCUUUGGGGAAAAAAAAAAAAGAAACACACAUCUAACAUCGUCUUCUAAAACAACUGAUUUCAGUUAGAUUUUAAACUACUUUCUUAAUUUUUAUGAUAAGAAUCUCCAAAAGGAAAGGAAAAAAGUCACCAUUAAAAGUAAAGUCUCAAUGGCUACACUGUUGCCCAAAGGACCCCACAAAAUACAGCAUGUAUCUUUUUAUGCGGUUCUAUCUUUGUUUUAUGAAAGAAAAUACAACAGAGCUAGCCGGAUGUUAAAGGCAUUAGCCUGCUUAUAGCUAAGACUAACGAGCUGAGUUUGGGCCCCAGAACCAUCACAGUAGUGGCUGAAAGCCAAAUCUUGCAAGUUGUCCACUAACCUACACACAUGCAAUGGCAUGCAUGCACACACACACACACACACACACACACACACAUGCAUGCACACAUAUGCACAAUUGGUUAAUUUAAUCCUUCAAAUCUUUCCCUCACUUAAAAGAAAAACCAAGAAACAACUUCAUUGUAAUAAUGAUCCUUUGCAGCACUUUCUCCUUUCUAUUGAACAAGAAAAUCCUGGGUCAAAACCAUUAUGACUCAUCCCCAACGAUUCAGGUGCAUAUUUCCUUUACCAAAUGAUGAAAAACAUUCAUGUUAUCCUAUUGAUUUAUUUUUCAAAUACAUUUUACUUUAUUACCAAUCAAGUCUCAUCUUUCAUUUAGGUUAUUUUUUUAUAUUUUUAAAAAAACUUUCUGGGAUAGGGUCUUUUCUAGCUGGUUUCCAACUCACUGUAAACUGAGACUGGCCGUUGGUCCCAAGUCCCCCGGCUCCCAGCUCCAGGUGUGGAAUCCAGGUGUGCACACACCUUUAUCAGGUCGUGUGCCUUCUACUUCUUCCUCACACAUGACUACAUAGAAAUUAUCCACUUAGGGGUUAUACAUUAUUUACUAUUAUAAGGUGUGGUGCUUAUUUCUCCAAAAUGAAUUUUAGAAAGCAGAAAGAAAACAGAACAGUAUGAUAAUAACUUAAGGUUCAAGAAUAAUUGUCAAGCCAGAAAAAAAAAAAACUAAUAUAUUAACAACAAGGAAACAGUUGUGAUAAACCUGCAUAGCAGUUAUAGGAGGUCAAAUGUCUUACUUGAAAUUAUGAGGAAUAAGUUCAUAUUCAGCUUUUAGAGGUCAUAAGACGUUUUCAUCUACUGUACAUGCUCUGCAUUUCCCUACUGUAAAAGUGUGCAAAACAGGACGUGCCAAUGAGAAAGACAAGAUUUCUGGUUGUGCUCUGGACCUCUAGGGUGCAGGGCCAUCCGAUAGAUGGCUAAUUCCAUUAGCAGCCAACAAAAAUUAAGAAUCAGGAAUUUAAAAUCCUGAUUCACUGUUUCUUCAAUGCCAAAUGCCACCCCUAGAACUGCUUAGUAACAGAACAGAUCAGAUCAAGUUAUCCAGGGACUCCCUCCUCCUAGUUUCAAAAAAGAGCACUUUGUAAAGGAAAGGGGUUGCAACGGUAAGGGCUGGGUGGCUGGAUGUCAAGGAAGGAAGGGGCUAGAAGGCAGGCAGUAAGGAGAGGGUGGGCAGUAGUGAGCAGGCUGGGUUAAGUGGAGGAUGAGUAGAAGAGCAAGGUAGAGAAGGGGGCACGGGGAGGAUGACCAACACUAAACACGUCUCAAAGUACCACAGGGAGAUGAUUCCCAAAUAUGCAUAAAUGUAAACAGUUUAAGUGGAGUCGCCUUAUAAAGGGGUGCAAUGUCCUUCCUAAACAGCAGAGGCAUAAUAGUACCAAAUUAAAAAAAAUAAUAAUAAUAAAGAACUCCUAUUUUCUUUUCCAUUUCAAAUCUUCAUGAAUCACCCAUUUUUUUUUUUUUUUUUUUUGCUAAGAACAAUCUAUGUAUUUCUAAGACAAUGUAAAAUACAAAUAAAAUCAGCACUUGAUUGGCAUAAUUUUUAAAAAUAAUUUCUUAUUCACUGAAAUUGAUAACUAUGGAAACAGGUUGUCCUUUUGGUUAAGUAUUUGCUCCCUCAGAUUAGAACAUGGGAGUUGGAAAUUUUAAUUAAAAUAAAUAGCUGGAAUUAAGUAGCGCACUCUCUAAAUCAGAUAUGGACCAAGCCUCAUAUCCUUCUAUGAUAGAAUAUAAAUAUCCAUCAUAUUCACUGUAACACUGCUAUUUUUAGUGAAUACACAAUAAAAAUAAAAUGAAUUAGCUAUUCUUAUGUGCCUUUAUGUCUCUUUCUUUCUGUGGUUUCUGGACGAGCAGUUAUUACAGAAUUUAAGUGUAUAAAAGGAUCACAGCUCUCCCCCAUUACUGUCACAAGAUGUCAUCUUCAAUUCUACAAAAGCUACCAGCCCCACGGGUCAUAAAGAUAAUGAGACAGCAGUUAUGUAAAUACUGCGUAGACCCCUCAAGCAAUGUGUCCAUAAGCUGACAAUAUUUUGCUUGUCUGGGUUGAAAAGUAAAAGGCGUCAUUUUAACACAAAAGUCCCAUUGAAGCUGGAUUUCUGCCCAUGAGCGAGCGGGAUGCGAGCUGAAUGGACCCACACAGAGCUCCCUUGCUGAGUCAGACAAACUAACUUUCCCAAGCUCAGUGCCUCUCCUGAGGUGCUGCACAUCUACUAGGUGAAGGCCUAUGGCUGCCAAGUUCAUCUGCUCUUCUUUGAGGAAAUUCUCUUCACCCAUUUACUUCUAUGCUUUAUGGCAGACACUAGGUAGUGUUUAAGAAUAAAAGUAAGGUGCAAAACUUGCAGAUAUGCACUUAUUUAUUUUUAUCUUCUCAAUUUUAGUAACUACUCAAAUGACUAAAACCCUGUCUAUCAAGGCAAACCAACAAAGAGGUCAAAAUGAACCCAGCAAGACAGCAAGGGCAGAUAUCCUGUUCACGUGGCUCUCACAACAUACAGAGCAGUCCCAGUGUGCGCUCAGCAAUCCUCCUUGGAAGAAUCACUAAGACACUGGAGGACUCUGCAUGCCAGGACUACAGAGCAGAGCAUCAGCUGACAGCACGUCAACUCAGAACUCAUUGCUUGCCUACAUACUACAACACUGGACACUCACAUUUGGAAUGGAUUCUAGUUUUGGAAUGGUAAAGUUAAAACUUUUCUAAUCCUACUGUUGUCUGCAGACCAAGAAUUGUACAGCUUCCCACUUCCCACUUCCGGAAGCAGGCAGCAUGCAUGCAUACAGGCAUUCCUGCAUUUUCAGCUGCACUACACUGCACUAUUUCAACCAGAGUCUCUGUCCCAAACUCACUCAGACCGCCAGAACCCAUCACUUUCCAGUAGAAGCUAUCAUUAGGUGGGAAACGGGGAAAGGUUAUAAAUUACUUGGUUUUCUGUUAUUUUCAACAAUACUAAGAGAUUAUUAGAGCUAAUAACUAAUAAUUUAUGACACAACCUUCCUGCUUUGAAAAUUAAUAUUACAAAAAUAAGCCCAUAGCAUAGCUCAUAUAAGAUGAAAAUCCUACAUAAAACUGUGUGUUUAGGAGAAAACAAUUGUUUAAAAGACAGUUCUCUUCUCCAGCAGACCAAGAUCCCCAAAAGAAAGAAAGCCAAGGGGAAAAAGGGGGCCCUGGCCCCCCACUUGUCAUCAAGAAACAGGAGGCCAAAAGGUUCUUUGUUUGAGAAAAGGCCCAAAAACUUUGGCAUUGGGCAGGACAUCCAGCCAAAAGAUAUCUAACACACUUUGUCAAAUGGCCCCGCUACAUCAGGCUGCAGCGGCAAAGCCCAUCAUCUAUAAGUGGCUCAAAGUCCCUCCUGCCAGUAACCAGUACACUCAGGCCCUGGACAGGCAAACAGCUACUCAGCUGCUUAAGCUUGCCCACAAGUACAGGCCAGAGACAAA